Long non-coding RNA from Arabidopsis lyrata subsp. lyrata, 658 nucleotides. RefSeq lists it as uncharacterized. NCBI's taxonomy places the organism in Eukaryota, Viridiplantae, Streptophyta, Magnoliopsida, Brassicales, Brassicaceae. The record is from RefSeq and is a predicted model, not a curated record. The transcript is spliced from 3 exons.
UUAGAACAAUCGUUAUUGUCCUUGUUGCUUCUUACUGCCUAACACGUGUCUGAGUGAAGACAUCUCUUCUUCUUCCUUAACGUAUCAUCGACUGGACUUUUAAUGGGCUGCUUAAUUUUGUAAACCCAUUAUGUACUCUUGUUGAUGUAUGUUGUCUUAUAUCAAUAAAAUUCAGAGAAAAAAAAAAGAAUAAUCGUUGUCUCAUCUUUAAAAAAAAAAAAAACCCACCGAACAAACGUAAGAACUUGGCUCGAUCGAAGAAUCAAUUGCGACAGCUAUUUCGUCUCCGUUUAUACUGUGUUGCAAAUCGUGAAUUCUUUAAAGAGGUCAAGUAUAAAUUGCGAGUAACCUAAAAAUGUGGAGGAGGCUAUAUCACGUUUUGUCAUUGGAGCUAUUCAAAAAUCUAUUGGUUGAAGAUUGCCAAAAUCUCAACCGACCGGAUCAAGCAAAGGAUCGAGCCCAUGAUCCGCGUGUCGACCCGCCAAAGAACCCCAUGAUCCGCGUGUUUAUUCGGUUCAGUAGCCCAAGAUCCGUGGGUUACUUCCUUUCAAAUUAUUGUUUUACCCUUUUAUGUGUUUUUUUUUUACUCUUAGAAUGCAAAAUUCUUAAUGGUAUUCUUUGUAAUUUUUUACCCUUUAUAAGGUUAUUUAUUAUCUAA